This 66-nucleotide small nucleolar RNA is filed under the name Pelusios castaneus (West African mud turtle). Its description in RNAcentral is "Small nucleolar RNA U54 (ENSPCEG00000012308.1)". It matches the Rfam family "Small nucleolar RNA U54". Lineage: Eukaryota; Metazoa; Chordata; Testudines; Pelomedusidae. The record is from Rfam by way of RNAcentral.
UGGCUAUGAGGAUAAAUUGUAAACUGAAUUAUUAUGAUAGUUUAUUUACGCUAUUCUGAGCCGACA